GUAGGGAAUCUUCGGCAAUGGACGGAAGUCUGACCGAGCAACGCCGCGUGAGUGAAGAAGGUUUUCGGAUCGUAAAGCUCUGUUGUAAGAGAAGAAUGAGUGUGAGAGUGGAAAGUUCACACUGUGACGGUUUCUUACCAGAAAGGGACGGCUAACUACGUGCCAGCAGCCGCGGUAAUACGUAGGUCCCGAGCGUUGUCCGGAUUUAUUGGGCGUAAAGCGAGCGCAGGCGGUUAGAUAAGUCUGAAGUUAAAGGCUGUGGCUUAACCAUAGUACGCUUUGGAAACUGUUUAACUUGAGUGCAAGAGGGGAGAGUGGAAUUCCAUGUGUAGCGGUGAAAUGCGUAGAUAUAUGGAGGAACACCGGUGGCGAAAGCGGCUCUCUGGCUUGUAACUGACGCUGAGGCUCGAAAGCGUGGGGAGCAAACAGGAUUAGAUACCCUGGUAGUCCACGCCGUAAACGAUGAGUGCUAGGUGUUAGACCCUUUCCGGGGUUUAGUGCCGCAGCUAACGCAUUAAGCACUCCGCCUGGGGAGUACGACCGCAAGGUUG
This 551-nucleotide ribosomal RNA is filed under the name uncultured bacterium. Its description in RNAcentral is "bacterial SSU rRNA". It matches the Rfam family "Bacterial small subunit ribosomal RNA", at positions 354 to 896 of the family's 1533-position model. The record is from RNAcentral.